This 1289-nucleotide unclassified non-coding RNA is filed under the name Hevea brasiliensis (rubber tree). Lineage: Eukaryota; Viridiplantae; Streptophyta; Magnoliopsida; Malpighiales; Euphorbiaceae. The record is from RNAcentral.
CAAAAUGAUACCAUCCAACCUUUUUCCAAAUUUUAACCAUUCAAAUAAUAUAUUCAACACACCCACAUGUUGCUUUGAUGAUAUCACUCUGCAGAUCAUCACAAAGUAAUUUAAAAAAAAGAAAAAAUUGAUUCCAAAUGCUAAGAUUCAGCUUAAAAUUUAUCUUUCCACUGGUAGUGCUGCUUUCCACAAUGUUGAUGGUUGAUUCUUGAUUCUGAUUCCAAUCAAUUGUCAUCCUUAAAGCUUCCAACUUGAAUUAGUUUCUUAUUCUAGGUUCAGUUCUUGCCACUAAUCAAUAGAGACAAUGGUCCUCAGUGACUUGACAUCAAUUAAAUGCAUUUGGUAGCUAAGCAUGCGUGCAGCAUCUUGAACAUGAAUAAGCAUGACAUGUUAAUAAAGGUGAAGCAGAAAAAAAUAAAUAGUCUUUGCAAUUAUUUCAAAGAAUUUUCUCACUAACACCUGACACUGCCUCUCCACCUCGUCACUGUCAUCAGAUACUCCCAAAUUACAUGUUUCUCUUAUUAGCCUUCUACACUCAUCAAUCCAAACUCCACCACCAACCAAAUAAUAACAAUAAAUCAACGGCUCUUAUUGUUCAAUAAUUCGCAUAAGGGACCCACUUGGUACCUGAUUUUUCUAAUGAAAUUAGAGAAGUAAAUAUUUUAAUUUAACCAGUUGAAUGAGUAAUCUACCUUUAAGCAUGAAUGUCUGCUAAUGUAUGUCAGUUAAGUGAGGGAUAUACUUUUUAUUAAGUGAGCCAUAUGCUUUCAAGCAUACACAGCGGUUAGCCUGUUUGAUGGUUCUGAUGAGUAGUAAGCAUACACACCUUAUAAUAUGAUCAUAUCAACCAAAAAGGAAGAGAGAAACCUAAACUUGAAUCUAGUAGAUGAACAAUCACAGAUUUUCUGAGAAUUGAAGCAUAAUCACAGAGUUUCUUAUGCUAACUUAUCUUUCAGUAUUUGACCAUCAAACAGUGAACAAACAUAAUAAUCUAACAGAAAAAUUAUUCCUGUCUAGCUAAAUUUAUGUUCACUUACAACAGUAAAGAAACCCAAAUCAUUGAUGAUGAUGAUAGGAGGGAAUAUCAUACCCACAGAGCACCUACUUCGACGAGCUUUGGGACAAGGUGGCCGCUGAGGUGGAGAGCUACGAGAGACUCGAGGCCGCCAACGCAGGUUCCACCAAUGAAAAGGGCGGGAGCAAGACUGCGAGGAGCCUCGCUAUCGUGAUCAGAGGGAGGUGGAGAAGGAGGGAGAGCGGAGAUCUCAUGAUCGUCUAACUCGAUCACA